AUUGAACGCUGGCGGCAUGCCUUACACAUGCAAGUCGAACGGUAACAGGUCUUCGGAUGCUGACGAGUGGCGAACGGGUGAGUAAUACAUCGGAACGUGCCCGAUCGUGGGGGAUAACGGAGCGAAAGCUUUGCUAAUACCGCAUACGAUCUACGGAUGAAAGCAGGGGACCGCAAGGCCUUGCGCGGACGGAGCGGCCGAUGGCAGAUUAGGUAGUUGGUGGGAUAAAAGCUUACCAAGCCGACGAUCUGUAGCUGGUCUGAGAGGACGACCAGCCACACUGGGACUGAGACACGGCCCAGACUCCUACGGGAGGCAGCAGUGGGGAAUUUUGGACAAUGGGCGAAAGCCUGAUCCAGCCAUGCCGCGUGCAGGAUGAAGGCCUUCGGGUUGUAAACUGCUUUUGUACGGAACGAAAAGACUCUUUCUAAUAAAGAGGGUCCCUGACGGUACCGUAAGAAUAAGCACCGGCUAACUACGUG
This 482-nucleotide ribosomal RNA is filed under the name uncultured bacterium. RNAcentral's name for it is "partial 16S ribosomal RNA". It matches the Rfam family "Bacterial small subunit ribosomal RNA", at positions 30 to 507 of the family's 1533-position model. The record is from RNAcentral.